RNAcentral lists this ribosomal RNA (342 nucleotides) under Triticum aestivum (bread wheat). Its description in RNAcentral is "partial small subunit ribosomal RNA". Lineage: Eukaryota; Viridiplantae; Streptophyta; Magnoliopsida; Poales; Poaceae. The record is from RNAcentral.
AUGGCGGAUGCACCUCUGUACAAGCAGCGCCACACGUACACCAGGGAGCUCCACGACGUCGACCUCCAUGGUAACCACAAGCUCCACAUCGUUUGCAAAAGCAAGGCCGAAGACGUGGACAAGAUGAUGUCCACGUUCAGGAGGAAGCUCGGUGGAAUGACCGUCAAACUAUUCGGCGUUGAUGUCGAGUACACGCACUACGUGAAGCCACAGCCAAUGGAACUAGACAAAUUCCUCAUGAAUGGUGAGUACACCUUCGUCGGAUUCGCCGUUGAAGGAGACAAAAGCAAGCUGAAGGUAUUUGGUUUGGAGAUCAACUCCGACAACUACAUUGAUAUUUAG